This 492-nucleotide ribosomal RNA is filed under the name uncultured bacterium. RNAcentral's name for it is "partial 16S ribosomal RNA". It matches the Rfam family "Bacterial small subunit ribosomal RNA", at positions 29 to 507 of the family's 1533-position model. The record is from RNAcentral.
AGUGAACGCUGGCGGUAGGCCUAACACAUGCAAGUCGAACGGCAGCACAGUAAGAGCUUGCUCUUACGGGUGGCGAGUGGCGGACGGGUGAGGAAUACAUCGGAAUCUACUUUUUCGUGGGGGAUAACGUAGGGAAACUUACGCUAAUACCGCAUACGACCUACGGGUGAAAGCAGGGGAUCUUCGGACCUUGCGCGAUUGAAUGAGCCGAUGUCGGAUUAGCUAGUUGGCGGGGUAAAGUCCCACCAAGGCGACGAUCCGUAGCUGGUCUGAGAGGGUGAUAAGACACACUAGAACUGAGACACGGUCCAGACUCCUAAGGGUGGCAGGAGUAGGGAAUAUUGGACAAUGGGCGGAAGCGUGAUCCAGCCAUACCGCGUGGGUGAAAAAGGAGUUCGGGUUGUAAAGCCCUUUUGUUAGGGAAGAAAAGCAGCAGGUUAAUACCCCGCUGUUCUGACGGUACCCAAAGAAUAAGCACCGGCUAACUUCGUG